AUCAUGAUGUGGUUGGUGUACUAG
Molecule: non-coding RNA, 24 nt
Filed under: Arabidopsis thaliana (thale cress)
Lineage: Eukaryota; Viridiplantae; Streptophyta; Magnoliopsida; Brassicales; Brassicaceae
Source: RNAcentral